This 460-nucleotide ribosomal RNA is filed under the name uncultured bacterium. RNAcentral describes it as "partial 16S ribosomal RNA". It matches the Rfam family "Bacterial small subunit ribosomal RNA", at positions 338 to 795 of the family's 1533-position model. The record is from RNAcentral.
CCUACGGGAGGCUGCAGUGAGGAAUAUUGGUCAAUGGGCGCGAGCCUGAACCAGCCAAGCCGCGUGAAGGAUGACUGCCCUACGGGUUGUAAACUUCUUUUGUAAAGGAAUAAAGUGAGGCACGUGUGCCUUUUUGUAUGUACUUUAUGAAUAAGGAUCGGCUAACUCCGUGCCAGCAGCCGCGGUAAUACGGAGGAUCCGAGCGUUAUCCGGAUUUAUUGGGUUUAAAGGGUGCGGAGAUGGGUUGUUAAGUCAGGUGUGAAAGGUCGCGGCUCAACCGUAAGAUUGCAAUUGAUACUGGCAGUCUUGAGUACAGGUGGGGUAGGCGGAAUGCGUGGUGUAGCGGUGAAAUGCUUAGAUAUCACGAAGAACGCCGAUUGCGAAGGCAGCUUACUAAACUGCCACUGACGUUGAGGCUCGAAAGUGUGGGUAUCAAACAGGAUUAGAUACCCGGGUAGUC